GAAUCCGCCUAAGGAGUGUGUAACAACUCACCUGCCGAAUGAACUAGCCCUGAAAAUGGAUGACGCUUAAGCGGACAGCCGACACCGCGCCGUUUGGGUAAGAGGCGACCUAAAUGAGUAGGAGGGCGUGGCGGUCUUGUGAGGAAGGUCGAGACGCGAGUCUGACUGAAACGGCCGCUAGUGCAGAUCUUGGUGGUAGUAGCAAAUAUUCAAGCGGGAUCCUUGAAGGGCGAAGCGGGGAAGGGUUCCACGCGAACAUUGAUUGGGCGUGGGUGAGUCGUUCCUAAGCCGGGUGGUAAUCGUUCUUCGAAGCGGCGAAAGGGAAGCGGGUUAAAAUUCCUGCACACGGAUGUGGAGGCGGUGACGCAAAUUGAGGUGAAGACAUCAGCGGUGGCGCUAGGCAGAGUUUUCUUUUCUGUUUGACCUGUGAGAUGCACGGUGUGGAAUCCGAUUAUCGGGAGAAACACGCGCCGAAGGGCAGAGCGUCGGGGCGUCCCCGGCGUCUAGCACGCCACCGAUGGUCCUUGAAAAUUCAUCUGCAAUAUAAUUUCACGCCGUGGCGUACCGAUAACCGCAUCAGGUCCCCAAGGUGAACAGCCUCUGCUCAAUAUGAAUAAUGCAGGUAAGGGAAGUCGGCA
This 638-nucleotide ribosomal RNA is filed under the name Phymatolithon sp. ARS-2011. Its description in RNAcentral is "eukaryotic LSU rRNA". It matches the Rfam family "Eukaryotic large subunit ribosomal RNA", at positions 1264 to 1919 of the family's 3401-position model. The record is from RNAcentral. Lineage: Eukaryota; Rhodophyta; Florideophyceae; Hapalidiales; Hapalidiaceae.